RNAcentral lists this transfer RNA (69 nucleotides) under Marmota monax (woodchuck). Its description in RNAcentral is "tRNA.Ala". The record is from RNAcentral. Lineage: Eukaryota; Metazoa; Chordata; Mammalia; Rodentia; Sciuridae.
GGUUGUGACUCAAUGGUAGAGCGCUUGCCUGGCGUGCGUGAGGCAAUGGGUUCAAUCCCCCCCAUACCA